UACGUAGGUGGCAAGCGUUGUCCGGAUUUACUGGGCGUAAAGAGCGCGCAGGCGGUCGUUCAAGUCGCGUGUGAAAGCCCCCGGCUCAACUGGGGAGGGUCACGCGAUACUGAUCGACUCGAAGGCAGGAGAGGGUAGUGGAAUUCCCGGUGUAGUGGUGAAAUGCGUAGAUAUCGGAAGGAACAUCAGUGGCGAAAGCGGGUCUCUGGGCCGUAACUGACGCUGAGGAGCGAAAGCGUGGGGAGCGAACAGG
RNAcentral lists this ribosomal RNA (253 nucleotides) under uncultured bacterium. RNAcentral describes it as "partial 16S ribosomal RNA". It matches the Rfam family "Bacterial small subunit ribosomal RNA", at positions 524 to 776 of the family's 1533-position model. The record is from RNAcentral.